Molecule: ribosomal RNA, 250 nt
Filed under: uncultured bacterium
Lineage: Bacteria
Description: partial 16S ribosomal RNA
Rfam family: Bacterial small subunit ribosomal RNA
Source: RNAcentral
GACGAACCGUGCGAACGUUGUUCGGAAUCACUGGGCUUAAAGGGCGCGUAGGCGGGUCUUCAAGUUUGGGGUGAAAUCCUCCGGCUCAACCGGAGAACUGCCUCGAAUACUGAAGGUCUCGAGGGGGAUAGGGGCAUGCGGAACUACGGGUGGAGCGGUGAAAUGCGUUGAUAUCCGUAGGAACUCCGGUGGCGAAGGCGGCGUGCUGGAUCCCUUCUGACGCUGAGGCGCGAAAGCCAGGGGAGCAAAC